Non-coding RNA from Megalopta genalis, 752 nucleotides. The record is from RefSeq and is a predicted model, not a curated record. NCBI's taxonomy places the organism in Eukaryota, Metazoa, Arthropoda, Insecta, Hymenoptera, Halictidae.
AAAUCAUUAUUAAUAUAUUAUAUAAUUAUAUAGUAUUAAUUAUAUACAUAAUUGUUGGCGUCAAUUAGAGACUAUUUACUGUAACGUGUCAGACACGAAUUUUGUUCGAAUUUUGUUACACUCUUAUAACAGUAUAGGUGAAUCGGCGACGUUAAAGACAUUACUUGGAUCAUUUAAAAACGAUUUUCCUGCGCUUGGUAUUACGUAAAGCCUUCGGUCGUUAUCGUUAUUAUCUGAUCGCGGUAACAAAAACUCGGCGUUAAUCAUCGCCGGGAAUGCCCCGGAAUAGGUCCCGACAAUGCAUAACGAGAACAGUAAGCCGGCUAUUAUUUCCGCUGAUAGGAAUCUUUAACUACACCGAUUGUUUCUCUGUCGCGUAUCUCGGUCGAAAAUAACAGUACCAGAGUUUGACGUGGAAGGUAUAAAUUUACGGUCGCGCGAUCACGCUCGAUAUUAGUGCCGAUUCCAACGACAGAGGAGCUUCGAAAAUUGCCACCAUGAAGUACCUGUCCAUUCUUCUUUGUCUCUUCUUGUGUUAUGAACUGUCGUCGCAACAUCGCAUCCGAGGUUUCGGUCCCGAGAGGAGGAUGCGCGACGCGAUCUUCGAGGAGUGCGCUAAGGAUGCGGGCGUGACGGUCGAGGAACUGGAUGCUUUGGAUUCCGGGGAAGCGAGGGAGAAAUUUUUGAACGGCGACGGAGACUACAGAAAUGUCGGGUGCUUCUCAGCGUGUCUGCUGCAACGCCACGGUUUC